GAUGAACGCUGGCGGCAGGCCUAACACAUGCAAGUCGAACGCCCCGCAAGGGGAGUGGCAGACGGGUGAGUAACGCGUGGGAACCUACCUUUCGGUGCGGAAUAACUCCGGGAAACCGGAGCUAAUACCGCAUACGCCCUAUGGGGGAAAGAUUUAUCGCCGAUAGAUGGGCCCGCGUCGGAUUAGCUAGUUGGUGAGGUAACGGCUCACCAAGGCGACGAUCCGUAGCUGGUCUGAGAGGAUGAUCAGCCACACUGGGACUGAGACACGGCCCAGACUCCUACGGGAGGCAGCAGUGGGGAAUAUUGGACAAUGGGCGCAAGCCUGAUCCAGCCAUGCCGCGUGAGUGAAGAAGGCCUUAGGGUUGUAAAGCUCUUUUAGUGGGGAAGAUAAUGACGGUACCCACAGAAUAAGCCCCGGCUAACUUCGUGCCAGCCGCCGCAGUAA
Molecule: ribosomal RNA, 447 nt
Filed under: uncultured bacterium
Lineage: Bacteria
Description: partial 16S ribosomal RNA
Rfam family: Bacterial small subunit ribosomal RNA
Source: RNAcentral